UGGGGAAUCUUGCGCAAUGGGCGAAAGCCUGACGCAGCGACGCCGCGUGGGUGAUGAAGGCCUUCGGGUCGUAAAGCCCUGUCAAGAGGGACGAAACCUCGCCGAUCUAAUACGUCGGCGACCUGACGGUACCUCUGAAGGAAGCACCGGCUAACUCCGUGCCAGCAGCCGCGGUAAUACGGAGGGUGCGAGCGUUGUUCGGAAUUACUGGGCGUAAAGCGCGUGUAGGCGGCCUCCUCAGUCUGGUGUGAAAGCCCGGGGCUCACCCCCGGAAGUGCAUUGGAUACUGGGAGGCUGGAGUACCGGAGAGGAGGGUGGAAUUCCUGGUGUAGCGGUGAAAUGCGUAGAUAUCAGGAGGAACACCGGUGGCGAAGGCGGCCCUCUGGACGGAUACUGACGCUGAGACGCGAAAGCGUGGGGAGCAAACA
This 428-nucleotide ribosomal RNA is filed under the name uncultured delta proteobacterium. Its description in RNAcentral is "partial 16S ribosomal RNA". It matches the Rfam family "Bacterial small subunit ribosomal RNA", at positions 355 to 774 of the family's 1533-position model. Lineage: Bacteria; Deltaproteobacteria. The record is from RNAcentral.